GACGAACGCUGGCGGCGUGCUUAACACAUGCAAGUCGAACGUGAUUUUUGUGGAAAUUCUUUCGGGAAUGGAAGUGAAAUGAAAGUGGCGAACGGGUGAGUAACACGUGAGCAACCUACCUUACACAGGGGGAUAGCCGUUGGAAACGACGAUUAAUACCGCAUGAGACCACAGAAUCGCAUGAUAUGGGGGUCAAAGAUUUAUCGGUGUAAGAAGGGCUCGCGUCUGAUUAGCUAGUUGGAAGGGUAAAGGCCUACCAAGGCGACGAUCAGUAGCCGGUCUGAGAGGAUGAACGGCCACAUUGGAACUGAGACACGGUCCAAACUCCUACGGGAGGCAGCAGUGGGGAAUAUUGCACAAUGGGGGGAACCCUGAUGCAGCGACGCCGCGUGAGCGAAGAAGGUUUUCGAAUCGUAAAGCUCUGUCCUAUGAGAAGAUAAUGACGGUAUCAUAGGAGGAAGCCCCGGCUAAAUACGUGCCAGCAGCCGCGGUAAUACGUAUGGGGCGAGCGUUGUCCGGAAUUAUUGGGCGUAAAGGGUACGUAGGCGGUUUUUUAAGUCAGGUGUGAAAGCGUGAGGCUUAACCUCAUUAAGCACUUGAAACUGGAAGACUUGAGUGAAGGAGAGGAAAGUGGAAUUCCUAGUGUAGCGGUGAAAUGCGUAGAUAUUAGGAGGAAUACCGGUGGCGAAGGCGACUUUCUGGACUUUUACUGACGCUCAGGUACGAAAGCGUGGGGAGCAAACAGG
RNAcentral lists this ribosomal RNA (746 nucleotides) under uncultured Parvimonas sp. RNAcentral describes it as "bacterial SSU rRNA". It matches the Rfam family "Bacterial small subunit ribosomal RNA", at positions 28 to 776 of the family's 1533-position model. Lineage: Bacteria; Bacillati; Bacillota; Tissierellia; Tissierellales; Peptoniphilaceae. The record is from RNAcentral.